AUUUAGCUGACGAGUCCCAAAUGGGACGAAGUGCGCAUCCUGUAU
Non-coding RNA from Schistosoma mattheei, 45 nucleotides. Lineage: Eukaryota; Metazoa; Platyhelminthes; Trematoda; Strigeidida; Schistosomatidae. The record is from Rfam.